CAGCCGCCGCGGUAAUACGUAGGGUGCAAGCGUUAAUCGGAAUUACUGGGCGUAAAGCGUGCGCAGGCGGUUAUAUAAGUCAGAUGUGAAAUCCCCGGGCUCAACCUGGGAACUGCAUUUGAGACUGUAUGGCUAGAGUGUGUCAGAGGGGGGUAGAAUUCCACGUGUAGCAGUGAAAUGCGUAGAUAUGUGGAGGAAUACCGAUGGCGAAGGCAGCCCCCUGGGAUAACACUGACGCUCAUGCACGAAAGCGUGGGGAGCAAACAGGAUUAGAUACCCCAGUAGUCCCUGUCUCUUAUAC
RNAcentral lists this ribosomal RNA (301 nucleotides) under uncultured bacterium. Its description in RNAcentral is "partial 16S ribosomal RNA". It matches the Rfam family "Bacterial small subunit ribosomal RNA", at positions 509 to 807 of the family's 1533-position model. The record is from RNAcentral.